AAGGAAGGGGGAAAUAGCCGAUAACUAUUUUUUAAUUAGUUCAAUUCUAAUCUUAUCUUU
Molecule: transfer RNA, 60 nt
Filed under: Astrohamma tuberculatum
Lineage: Eukaryota; Metazoa; Echinodermata; Ophiuroidea; Euryalida; Gorgonocephalidae
Description: tRNA-Ile
Source: RNAcentral